GCCUUCGUGGUGUAGUGGUCAGCACGCUCGACGCGUAUUCGAGAGGUCCGUGGUUCGAUUCCAGGCGAAGGCG
Molecule: transfer RNA, 73 nt
Filed under: Stegodyphus mimosarum
Lineage: Eukaryota; Metazoa; Arthropoda; Arachnida; Araneae; Eresidae
Description: tRNA-Thr for anticodon CGU
Rfam family: tRNA
About the family: Transfer RNA (tRNA) molecules are approximately 80 nucleotides in length. Their secondary structure includes four short double-helical elements and three loops (D, anti-codon, and T loops). Further hydrogen bonds mediate the characteristic L-shaped molecular structure. tRNAs have two regions of fundamental functional importance: the anti-codon, which is responsible for specific mRNA codon recognition, and the 3' end, to which the tRNAs corresponding amino acid is attached (by aminoacyl-tRNA synthetases). tRNAs cope with the degeneracy of the genetic code in two manners: having more than one tRNA (with a specific anti-codon) for a particular amino acid; and 'wobble' base-pairing, i.e. permitting non-standard base-pairing at the 3rd anti-codon position.
Source: Rfam by way of RNAcentral